CCUCGUUAAUUUAAACUCAAAUCCUUGCUAACUCGGGUUCUACCGUAACACCUGUGUUCUAAAAGCUCACUCACACUCAAAUAGUGGAGGUUUAAUCUGAGCUUCCCUUGAGUGUCAGACAGUGCAGUUUUUGAAUAGCUGUACAAGGGUUAUACCGUAAAGCUCCGACUAUAAGACCCCCAAAUAUAAGCCCCCCCAUGUAUAAGCCCACCACAUGUACUAACGCUCACCUCAUUCCAAAUAUAAGCCCCCGCCCCAGAAUAUAAGCCCACUCGAAUGUAAGCCCAACGAAUAUAGGUCCCCCAAUUAAUAUAAGCCCAGUAAUCGCUGCUUAAUACAUGUUUACUCCCUGUUUA
Paramuricea clavata is the source of this 356-nucleotide non-coding RNA. Lineage: Eukaryota; Metazoa; Cnidaria; Anthozoa; Malacalcyonacea; Plexauridae. The record is from the annotation of a GenBank genome assembly.